This 2963-nucleotide long non-coding RNA is filed under the name Mus musculus (house mouse). Its description in RNAcentral is "long non-coding RNA chr10:13113199-13116162". The record is from RNAcentral. Lineage: Eukaryota; Metazoa; Chordata; Mammalia; Rodentia; Muridae.
GAGUAGGAGGAAAGAGGGUUUUUUUGUUUUGUUUUGUUUUUAAAUCCUCCUAUCUGUCCUUCCUUCUGGAGUUAACUCCAAGUCCUGCCGAAUUUCUCUGGUGGGUUUAAAUGUUAACAAAGAGACUUUAAGUCUUGUCUGCCUUCAGCUGGAAGAAAAUAUGAAAGAUUAGAAACCUUCCACCUGUUACCCACCAUGCUGAUUUAGAGCCAUAAGAAAGGCACUCGAACAAUAAAUAGGCAACCGUAAAAAAAGAAAACCGAUUUGAGAGACAGACACCGCUUGAUCUACGCAGCCUGAUCAGGUGUGUGUGUGUGGGGGGGGGGGGGGGACAAAAAAAAAGCAAAACAAAAAAAAAUCUAAAGUCAGGACAGAAUUCCUGACUCUGUAGAGGCCAGGAGGUUAGAGCAUAAGGACUUCCACUUCCUGUCAGACCACACACCCCGGAUUCACACCCAGUUGAGCUGCUUGCUAGUUACCAGGCAAGUUAGCCUACUUACAAGCCUCCAUUUGUCAAUAAGUAAGGGGACAGGAACACAGGGCCACUCCUGUGAUUGCCCAGGGUGCUAAGGACUUAACAUUGCCAUGGUCUGGUGAGCAUCCAAGAGUUGGUGGUUGUAACUAUCCAGUGGUGUUACAGCGCUGGACAGGACCCACCAGGAGGGUCGGGGAAGCCUCUACUUAGAAGAUGGCGGAGCCAGGAGGGGGAACAGCAGGAAGGAAGGAGUUUUUAUUCAGGAUUUUAAGAAAGUUCAGGGUUGAAGGUUUGGGAGGCAUGUGAACUUAGGAACUCUUUGAAACCUUAAGUUUCAUGAAUGGGGAAUGUAAAGAUGAUAUGAAAUAAGAGUGCAGAGGCCAGAAAUGAGGCCCCCAAAUCUACUAAAAUUUCAUGUGGCCCUUGGUCAGCCUGCCUCUUUUUAAAAUAACAUCCUUUGGAAGAGAAUAUUGUCUCUCCUAGGUCUCCUCGAAGAUAGACUCUCAUGGUUUAUGAUCCAUCUCUGUGAGAAGACUUUAUUUGUCUGUAAGUUUUCAAGUCAGUGGGCCCCGUUCCAUAUCAGGUCAUGGUUUUCAAAAAAUAAAAACCUGCUCGAUUGACUUUCCUAAGCAAACCCCACACAUCCUUAAGCAAGAGGAAUCUUGCUAAAACUUAGAACAGUUUACGGCGACAUCUGACACUGUCUAAUUCAUUCUCGUGCAGAUUCUUAGACUAAAGGUUUCAAGCAUUUGCUUAGAUCAGACCAGGAGUAUCUCAAAGUGGGCAAGCCGAAAUGCAAGAAACCUCUUGAUUCACCUUGAGUUUCUGUGAAUGUUCACUUCAGACAGCAAGCAAAUGCAGUUCAUUAACUGAGCGUCAGGCACAUUGUAAACUGGAAACACACUUACUUCACAGGCAGACGGACAUCCUAGAAAUCAUACACGCUAGGUUGAUAAAGCUUCCACUUGUGUUCUCCGUGAGUGGCAUUAAAAAUUCAUUUAAACUAAUUAAUGUGAUUCUAUUUACCACAUGCCAAACUCCCUUCUUAGAAAAAAAAUGUGAUUUUUCUUGCUCUUCUGGAACUCCGAGACACCGCUUUGGCAUAGCUUAAUUUCACAGGGUCAUUUUCAUCUCCUGCUGCUGUUGCUGCUGCUUGUUGUUGUUGUUCUUGUUGUUGCCGUCAUCGUUGUUGUCGUCGUCCUCCUCCUCCUUCUCCUUCUUCAGUUGACACUUGAAAACCAUUCUUUCUCAGCUUUUGAAAUCUAAGGCCUGAAAAGCAGUCUGCAAGUAGCAUCCUGUCAAAGGCAGAGGGAUGCGUUUUCUUUUUCUUGUUGGUCUCAUUGCUGCUAUAUCACACUGUUGCAUGAAGCAUGGGACUGUCCUCCAAGGGGGCCCUGUCUGGCCUGCUCUAGGUGCCCCCACCCACCCCCUCGCCCCAGCACUGUUGAAGCUUGUGUAUGUGAGGCAGUGCUGGGUGGGCAGGUGGGAAAGGCUGAGUAGCUUGACUCUUCCCUGCUAGGCAGCCCUCUUUCAGGGCCGUUCACACUGUGUACCACAAGAGUAAGCUCUUGUGUGUCCGCUGCUGCCAGGCAUUGUUGGAGGCAGAAAAGAAUGGCUUUCUCUUUGGGAUGAUUUGAAUAUUUUGACAAUGGAGCCAAGCUACUCUACUGCCUGGCUUGCGAACCUCAUGUCCCUUAAGCCCCUUCCUGGGCAGGAGAAGUGAGCCCCUCCUCUCUGAAUCCAUAAAUUGGUAUUGUCUACUGGGGAGUUGGGCAGACUCAAUGAAGAGUCAUUCAGACUAAUUUUAUUCUUUCGCUUUCAUGUGUUUGAAAUCUCUUGAAAAAAAUAAGAGUUAACCCAGGCUUCUGGGGACCACCCAAUUAAAUGAUCAUAGUUGUUGUAGAGAAUUUUGAAAUUAGAUGAACCCAUGCACACGGUCUGUUUACACACGCAGAACGAGGACCAGACAGAAAACAAACAGGUUCAGACAAGUACAUGGUCACCUCCAGUUUUUUUCUGGACUGUAUUUAAUUGUUUUGUUUGUUUGUUUGUUUGUUUAAACUUGUCUAAAGAAAGCUGCAUUUAAAAGGAUGUUUCUAUACUAAACAAACAGACACAGCCUCUUUGAUCAGAUUAAGUGAACAGGUGGUCCUGUGACUAAACCAUUAGAUGAGAUAGAACUGGCUCUCAAAAUCAGUUGUCUUCAUAGUGGUUAAAAAAACCCUGAGGCAUCCUCUCUACCUGCAAGAAAAUCAGUUUGGCAGAAUAGUGUUCAGUUGAAAGAGGCCAAGUGGUCAGAUGCAUUGAUGAACAGGGAUAGUGUAGGUUUCUAAGUAUGUGUCAGCGUUCAGUGGUCCAUGGUUGGUAUGAAAUCCAGGCACUUGAACACUAGGGGAAAACAUUUUUCCAUGCUCCCAUCACGUUGUUUCAGUCUGUGCUGAUUUGUGAAGUGGCCUUGGAAUCUGCUAUUAACAAAACAAAACAAAAC